RNAcentral lists this long non-coding RNA (291 nucleotides) under Lotus japonicus. RNAcentral's name for it is "long non-coding RNA (LJAP_LNC000287)". Lineage: Eukaryota; Viridiplantae; Streptophyta; Magnoliopsida; Fabales; Fabaceae. The record is from RNAcentral.
UUUCUUUUUCUCAGCUCAUUCGUUUUUUGUUUCUCGGAAACCAAACAAGCAGCGACGACGAUUGAAUACCUGUUUGGUGGACAAGGUGCAGUUGCGGUUGAAUUCAUCCAUGAAGGCGAAGGAGCCAUGAUCUUCACUUUCUCAAAGGCUUUGCUCAUCUUUUCCAUUGCUUUCCCACACUUUCUCGGGAAAAUGGGAAAACAGAAAACGCUGGAUCUGUGGUUAAACUAGUACUAAACUUGCUUCGAUUUUCAGAAAAUUUACGAUAGGGAUUUUGAUUUUGAUUUUGAU